RNAcentral lists this ribosomal RNA (492 nucleotides) under uncultured bacterium. Its description in RNAcentral is "partial 16S ribosomal RNA". It matches the Rfam family "Bacterial small subunit ribosomal RNA", at positions 29 to 507 of the family's 1533-position model. The record is from RNAcentral.
AGUGAACGCUGGCGGUAGGCCUAACACAUGCAAGUCGAACGGCAGCACAGUAAGAGCUUGCUCUUACGGGUGGCGAGUGGCGGACGGGUGAGGAAUACAUCGGAAUCUACUUUUUCGUGGGGGAUAACGUAGGGAAACUUACGCUAAUACCGCAUACGACCUACGGGUGAAAGCAGGGGAUCUUCGGACCUUGCGCGAUUGAAUGAGCCGAUGUCGGAUUAGCUAGUUGGCGGGGUAAAGGCCCACCAAGGCGACGAUCCGUAGCCGGUCUGAGAGGAUGAUCAGUCACGCUGGAACUGAGACACGGUCCAGACUCCUACGGGAGGCAGCAGUGGGGAAUAUUGGACAAUGGGCGCAAGCCUGAUCCAGCCAUACCGCGUGGGUGAAGAAGGCCUUCGGGUUGUAAAGCCCUUUUGUUGGGAAAGAAAAGCAGCAGGUUAAUACCCCGCUGUUCUGACGGUACCCAAAGAAUAAGCACCGGCUAACUUCGUG